This 301-nucleotide ribosomal RNA is filed under the name uncultured bacterium. RNAcentral's name for it is "partial 16S ribosomal RNA". It matches the Rfam family "Bacterial small subunit ribosomal RNA", at positions 509 to 807 of the family's 1533-position model. The record is from RNAcentral.
CAGUCGCCGCGGUAAAACAGAGGUCUCAAGCGUUGUCCGGAUUCAUUGGGCGUAAAGGGAGCGUAGGCGGUCGGGUAAGUCGGAUGUGAAAUCCUGGGGCUCAACCUCAGAACUGCAUUCGAUACUGCUUGGCUAGAGGACUGGAGAGGUGAGUGGAAUUCACGGUGUAGCAGUGAAAUGCGUAGAUAUCGUGAGGAAGACCAGCGGCGAAGGCGGCUCACUGGACAGUUUCUGACGCUGAUGCUCGAAGGCCAGGGGAGCAAACGGGAUUAGAUACCCCAGUAGUCCCUGUCUCUUAUAC